UGACCUAGAUGUACAGGUUCC
RNAcentral lists this microRNA (21 nucleotides) under Monodelphis domestica (gray short-tailed opossum). Its description in RNAcentral is "mdo-miR-7396-3p". Lineage: Eukaryota; Metazoa; Chordata; Mammalia; Didelphimorphia; Didelphidae. The record is from miRBase by way of RNAcentral.